UUGUCUUUUGGAUGCUUAUAUGGUUUACUUGAUUAUUGUAGGCUGUACUUUGCCAAACUUGGGCUUGGAUCCCCUCCAAAAGACUAUUAUGUGCAAGUUGACACAAGAAGUGACAUUCUAUGGGUGAAUUGUGUUGACUGCAAGAGCUGUCCAAAGAAAAGCGGUCUUGGUGGUAUUACCUUUUGUUGCAGUUGGGGAGUAGUUUUGGUUUGCAAUAUAGUUCUUAACCUGUGUGGUUAUAUUCUGUGUUUGCAAUUUGGGAGGGAUAGCAGUGAGCCAAGCAAUAAUAGCCUAGAAGGUGCUCUACUGAUCUGUUUUCUUCUUUUCUUACCCCACCCCACAAUCUGAAUUUGUAACUCCUACCCUUUUUUGAGUAUUUUACCGAAUGACUUUCUUCUAUUGCCCCCUUUAUAUGUGCUUGUUGCUGUCGCUGACACCAUUAUUAAUUUGAGAUAUCAAAAUGAUUGUUUAUCACUGAGAGAAUGUAUUAUUUGUCAUGACCUGGCUCCAACGUCUUACUGUAAAGUAUUCUUUGAGGAA
This is a long non-coding RNA of Quercus robur (English oak), 540 nucleotides long. RefSeq lists it as uncharacterized. The transcript is spliced from 2 exons. Lineage: Eukaryota; Viridiplantae; Streptophyta; Magnoliopsida; Fagales; Fagaceae. The record is from RefSeq and is a predicted model, not a curated record.